RNAcentral lists this long non-coding RNA (1194 nucleotides) under Ailuropoda melanoleuca (giant panda). RNAcentral's name for it is "lncRNA (ENSAMEG00000024006.1)". The record is from RNAcentral. Lineage: Eukaryota; Metazoa; Chordata; Mammalia; Carnivora; Ursidae.
ACUUUCGGACACGGUGUGUUUUCUCUCUGAUCUUGGAAACAGAAGAGUGUGUGUGGCAGAGAACCCUGUCGCUGUGUCCCCAUUUUCCUUCGUUCUGUGGGAAAGAACGGCUCCUCGUUACUGCAGCCCACUGCCCGGUGUCACACGUGAGAGGAACGUCACGAGCCUUCCCCGGUGAAUCAUGCCCGUGGCCGCUGUGCCCACCUCCUCACCUUCAGCUCACCAAAGCCGGCUACGGCUCUCAUCGCGAACUCGGAAAUCCCAUCGUGCCUUUCUAAUUGAAGCCAAAGCCCACCCGAUUAUGGUUCAGAGCCCUGGGUUUCGGUGUCUCUAACGUGCUAAAUAAAUACGAACGCAAUUAAAGAUGCUCCAGGAAACUUGGUGACUGUAUGUAAUUUUCCUUUCCUCCCAUCCGAGGAAUGAGGAAAUCCUACUGCUGGAGAGCUGUUAGUAUCUAUUUUACAAGAUUUACUCAUUUUCAGAUACCUAAUGCAGCUGCUAGCAUGCAUGCACAACAAUACGAUUUAUAUGGUAAAUGGGACCAAAUAAUGGCUUCACUGAAUGUUAUGGCUGCACUGAAGGGAGAUGUCACGGUAAAUAGCCACCAAAUUAUGGAUCAUGCCUGAGUGUCACAACUGCACUAAAGACAAAUAGCACUGGGGGCUAUUGCCACUGUGACGCUUUUGAGUUAUGAAGAAGGGUAGCAGCCUGAUGCGAGGCUCUUUGUGUCCUCAUUACAGCAAGGGGUUCCGAGCGCGGGGUACAAGAAAAGCUGGCCCAAUGCAGUGCUCAGUUAUUAAUCUGUCCCUUUCAGACCUAACAGAUCUGGCCACACGGAAGAAGACUUUGCCUGCCUUUCAGACACGCAAACACGGGAGGGGACAGGUUUUAGGAAGAGAAGAGCGCAGGAAGUGCCUGGCACUGGGCGAACAAGUUAAUCAGAUCAUCCCACCCCAGAAGAAGAUGACAUUUCACACGGUCUGCAUACUGAUGAGCCCUGACGGUAAGACUGAGCUGGUCCUUGCCUCUGUUCCCAAUGCGAAGGUUUCUGCCAGCAUGGCAGCGGCAUGGACCCUCCCGGGAAGUGAGUCUGAGAUCCCCCAUGUGGGAGGGUCCCGAUCCCGAAGUCUGCCUUUCCCAGGUGGUCCCGAGGCUGCUGUUCCGGGGAACACGCUUCGAGGAGGAAGGCACUAG